GCAAGUCGAACGCGUCUCCGUUAAUGAUUUUAGGUGCUUGCAUUUGAAAGAUUUAACAUUGAGACGAGUGGCGAACUGGUGAGUAACACGUGGGUAACCUGCCCUUGAAGUAGGGGAUAACACUUGGAAACAGGUGCUAAUACCGUAUAACAACCAAAACCACCUGGUUUUGGUUUAAAAGACGGCUUCGGCUGUCACUUUAGGAUGGACCCGCGGCGUAUUAGCUUGUUGGUAAGGUAACGGCCUACCAAGGCGAUGAUACGUAGCCGACCUGAGAGGGUAAUCGGCCACAUUGGGACUGAGACACGGCCCAAACUCCUACGGGAGGCAGCAGUAGGGAAUCUUCCACAAUGGACGAAAGUCUGAUGGAGCAACGCCGCGUGAGUGAUGAAGGGUUUCGGCUCGUAAAACUCUGUUGUUGGAGAAGAACAGGUGUCAGAGUAACUGUUGACAUCUUGACGGUAUCCAACCAGAAAGCCACGGCUAACUACGUGCCAGCAGCCGCGGUAAUACGUAGGUGGCAAGCGUUGUCCGGAUUUAUUGGGCGUAAAGCGAGCGCAGGCGGUUUUUUAGGUCUGAUGUGAAAGCCUUCGGCUUAACCGGAGAAGUGCAUCGGAAACCGGGAGACUUGAGUGCAGAAGAGGACAGUGGAACUCCAUGUGUAGCGGUGAAAUGCGUAGAUAUAUGGAAGAACACCAGUGGCGAAGGCGGCUGUCUGGUCUGUAACUGACGCUGAGGCUCGAAAGCAUGGGUAGCGAACAGGAUUAGAUACCCUGGUAGUCCAUGCCAUAAACGAUGAGUGCUAAGUGUUGGAGGGUUUCCGCCCUUCAGUGCUGCAGCUAACGCAUUAAGCACUCCGCCUGGGGAGUACGACCGCAAGGUUGAAACUCAAAGGAAUUGACGGGGG
RNAcentral lists this ribosomal RNA (907 nucleotides) under uncultured bacterium. RNAcentral's name for it is "bacterial SSU rRNA". It matches the Rfam family "Bacterial small subunit ribosomal RNA", at positions 57 to 919 of the family's 1533-position model. The record is from RNAcentral.